RNAcentral lists this non-coding RNA (28 nucleotides) under Homo sapiens (human). The record is from RNAcentral. Lineage: Eukaryota; Metazoa; Chordata; Mammalia; Primates; Hominidae.
UAGCCCACAGGAGAUUUACAAUAGACAC